This 429-nucleotide ribosomal RNA is filed under the name uncultured bacterium. RNAcentral describes it as "bacterial SSU rRNA". It matches the Rfam family "Bacterial small subunit ribosomal RNA", at positions 355 to 776 of the family's 1533-position model. The record is from RNAcentral.
UGGGGAAUUUUGGACAAUGGGCGCAAGCCUGAUCCAGCAAUGCCGCGUGCAGGAUGAAGGCCUUCGGGUUGUAAACUGCUUUUGUACGGAACGAAACGGUCCCUUCUAAUACAAGGGGCUAAUGACGGUACCGGGUGAGGAAGCACCGGCUAACUCUGUGCCAGCAGCCGCGGUAAUACAGAGGGUGCGAGCGUUGUCCGGAAUCACUGGGCGUAAAGGGCGCGUAGGUGGCUUGGUAAGCGUGUGGUGAAAUCCUGGAGCUCAACUCCAGAACUGCCAUUGAUACUAUCUGUCUUGAAUAUUGUGGAGGUAAGCGGAAUAUGUCAUGUAGCGGUGAAAUGCUUAGAUAUGCGGAGGAACACCGAUGGCGAAGGCAAUCCCCUGGGCCUGCACUGACGCUCAUGCACGAAAGCGUGGGGAGCAAACAGG